This 253-nucleotide ribosomal RNA is filed under the name uncultured bacterium. RNAcentral's name for it is "partial 16S ribosomal RNA". It matches the Rfam family "Bacterial small subunit ribosomal RNA", at positions 524 to 776 of the family's 1533-position model. The record is from RNAcentral.
UACGAAGGAUCCAAGCGUUAUCCGGAUUUAUUGGGUUUAAAGGGUGCGUAGGCGGACUUGUAAGUCAGUGGUGAAAUCUCUUCGCUUAACGAAGAAACUGCCAUUGAUACUGCAGGUCUAGAGUAUAGAUGACGUUGGCGGAAUAUGACAUGUAGUGGUGAAAUACUUAGAUAUGUCAUAGAACACCGAUUGCGAAGGCAGCUAACGAAACUAUAACUGACGCUGAGGCACGAAAGUGCGGGGAUCAAACAGG